Long non-coding RNA from Vespa crabro (European hornet), 1873 nucleotides. RefSeq lists it as uncharacterized. NCBI's taxonomy places the organism in Eukaryota, Metazoa, Arthropoda, Insecta, Hymenoptera, Vespidae. The record is from RefSeq and is a predicted model, not a curated record. The transcript is spliced from 3 exons.
AUUUAAAAUAUUCCAACGACUGGGCACAUGAUGUGAUAUAUUUUGAAGAAAAAAAAUAAGACCAAAGGACGAGGAGUUGUUAAAUUAAAAUUGGCCUUAUGCGCGAAACAUAAUGUGCAAGUUGCUAUUCACGAACCCAGACAUUUAUUUGGAGGUUUGUUACUAUAAAAAGUUGAGACUAAGAAAAGUCGAAUAAUUUUGUUGAUCUGAUCCUGCAGAAGCUUUGAUCUUCCAAUAUAAUGCAUAACGUAGCCUCUUAACUAGAAACAUUGCUCUAACACAAUGGAUUGAAUAUGCUAGGAUCCAUCAAGAACAUCUACUUAAUUUUAUGGUUUUUAUUAAAUUUAUAGUCACUUUGUUAAGAUCUAUGAAUAAUGGAUUAUUUUUUAACAAAACUAUUUUGGGAUGCGACAAGAAAACUACUGUAUUCUUAUUUAAACAGUAUAAGGAAAAUAGAAAGAUUAAUUUUAGGAGACAAGAAUACCAUAACAUAGCUAUCAGCUAUUUCAAAGUAUAUUUUUCUUAAGUACAGUAUUAUAAUCUUUUCAAAAGAACAAUAAUUACAGUAAUUUAUUUAAUUAGAUGAUAUUAUCGUCUAUUAUCAGUCUCAAUAUUCCUGAAUAUUUUGAUCUAUUUCUUGCAAAGAAUUAUUCUUGUUUUCCAGAGGCAGAUAGUACGAAAUUGGAUGUUAUUCGAGAUUUAGAGAAAAUAGUUAUACAUGGUGGUGCCAAAUAGUAGAUAUAUAGCUUUUGUGUGUAUAUACUUGUUCUAAUACAACUUAUAUUAAUUAUUGGUGAUUAUAUAUUGUUAUAUUGAAAGAUUUGAGCACAUAGCAAGUAAUACCAGUCCGGAGACUAAAUCGGACAAACAUGUAUGCAUUCAGAUAUCAAAUUAAAAUAAUCCAGUUAAUCGGAACAGAUUUCGGAGAAGAUUAUUUAUUUGGAGAAGAUAGAUUAUUACAAUAAGCUGUUCGUCAAGAAAAUUAAUUUCCUUUGUACAAACACAUUGUAUAUUAUGUAUGAAAAGAAAAGAAAAGAACAAGUGAAAUGUGCAUGGAAGCUCUGAAAUAUAUCUGUGAGAGAUUAAAACAUAUAGAAGUCGAUAGUAAUAAUGAUUCUGAGUUAAUGCUUGGUACAACUUUAUUAGAAUUCUUUCUCAAGUUUCAACGAUAUGCUAUCCUGGACCAAAUAGUUUAUACCAAAGGACAAUUGGAAUCUAUGAAAAUACGAAUAGUUUAGAAUUGGUGUAACAUAUUGGUUGGAUAUUGCAGUAUAUUAAAACGAAUCGACAGAGCUAUUGAAUUUGAUACAUUACAAGCGAUUGAUAAUAUUAUGCGAUAUACAUGCAGUUGACACAUUAAUGAUUUUUUAUCCAAUUGGACACAACUGGCAUGACCCAAUGUUGAAGAAUCUUAUACAUUUGUUACUAAAAUUUUAGACAUACGUUAUUAAUAUCUUCCAAUUUUUUUUCUAUCAUUUUUUAUAUUCAUGAUCGUAUUAAUGUGAGUGAGAAAAUGAUGUUAUAGGACAUUUGUAAGUGUUUCUUUGCAUAUGCAGAUAAACUGGCUACAAAAGCAAAGACUACAACAAAUUUAGAACAGUUUAUUGAAAAUAGCGUGUAUCUAAUGCUCGAUGCUGUGCUAUUAAUAAUAUUGAUUAUAUUAGUACAUUGAUUGAUCCAUUGGUGCAAGUGACUUAGACUUACAAUCGUCGAUGGUUUAGGAGAAAACAAGAAAGGAAAAGAAAAUAGGCCGUACGUUGCAAACAAAUUCUUUAGCUGAUCGUUGCUAAUGCGGCAGAGACUGUGAAAAAUAAAAUUUAUGAAUUGUUAGAAGUUAUUGCGCACAAAAUGGAACUUAGUAUGAGGCUGUAAG